GCCGUUGUCGGGGACUGAUUAGAAGUUUAUUUAAUAUUUCCGAUAGGACUUAGUAGUACUUCAGGCGUUUACUUUUUAUUUUUAUUUUUCAAAUUCUUGUUUUUUUUUUCAGGCACUGCAUACGAUGGCUACUAAUGAACAAAUUUGUGCUCUACAGGAGCAGCUGCAACAGCUGUUGGACGCUCAAGCUGCUAAAGAAGCUCAGAAUCAGC
This 212-nucleotide long non-coding RNA is filed under the name Salvia miltiorrhiza (redroot sage). RNAcentral's name for it is "long non-coding RNA (SMIL_LNC003159)". Lineage: Eukaryota; Viridiplantae; Streptophyta; Magnoliopsida; Lamiales; Lamiaceae. The record is from RNAcentral.